This 253-nucleotide ribosomal RNA is filed under the name uncultured bacterium. RNAcentral's name for it is "partial 16S ribosomal RNA". It matches the Rfam family "Bacterial small subunit ribosomal RNA", at positions 524 to 776 of the family's 1533-position model. The record is from RNAcentral.
UACGAAGGGUGCAAACGUUGCUCGGAAUUAUUGGGCGUAAAGCGCACGUAGGCGGCAUUGCAAGUCGGAUGUGAAAUCCCUCGGCUUAACCAAGGAAGUGCAUCCGAAACUGCAGUGCUUGAGUACUUAAGAGGAUCGCGGAAUUCCCGGUGUAGAGGUGAAAUUCGUAGAUAUCGGGAGGAACACCAGUGGCGAAGGCGGCGAUCUGGGAAGAUACUGACGCUGAGGAACGAAAGCGUGGGGAGCGAACAGG